CGGACGGGUGAGUAACGCGUGGAAAACCUGCCGUAUACUGGGGGAUAACACUUAGAAAUAGGUGCUAAUGCCGCAUAAGCGCACAGCUUCGCAUGAAGCGGUGUGAAAAACUCUGGUGGUAUACGAUGGUUCCGCGUCUGAUUAGCUAGUUGGUGGGGUAAUGGCCUACCAAGGCAACGAUCAGUAGCCGGCCUGAGAGGGUGAACGGCCACAUUGGGACUGAGACACGGCCCAAACUCCUACGGGAGGCAGCAG
RNAcentral lists this ribosomal RNA (255 nucleotides) under uncultured bacterium. RNAcentral's name for it is "partial 16S ribosomal RNA". It matches the Rfam family "Bacterial small subunit ribosomal RNA", at positions 99 to 354 of the family's 1533-position model. The record is from RNAcentral.